GACGAACGCUGGCGGCGUGCUUAACACAUGCAAGUCGAACGAUGAAACCUAGCUUGCUAGGUCGAUUAGUGGCGAACGGGUGAGUAACACGUGACUAACCUGCCCCUUUCUCUGGGAUAACGCUCCGAAAGGAGUGCUAAUACCGGAUACUCACAUCGAGGCACAUGCCUUGGUGUGGAAAGUUUUUCGGAAAGGGAUGGAGUCGCGGCCUAUCAGCUUGUUGGUGAGGUAACGGCUCACCAAGGCGACGACGGGUAGCCGGCCUGAGAGGGCGACCGGCCACACUGGGACUGAGACACGGCCCAGACUCCUACGGGAGGCAGCAGUGGGGAAUAUUGCACAAUGGGCGCAAGCCUGAUGCAGCGACGCCGCGUGAGGGAUGAAGGUCUUCGGAUUGUAAACCUCUUUCAGUAGAGACGAAGCGAAAGUGACGGUACCUAAAGAAGAAGCACCGGCUAACUACGUGCCAGCCGCCGCGGUAA
Molecule: ribosomal RNA, 482 nt
Filed under: uncultured bacterium
Lineage: Bacteria
Description: partial 16S ribosomal RNA
Rfam family: Bacterial small subunit ribosomal RNA
Source: RNAcentral